GACGAACGCUGGCGGCGUGCUUAACACAUGCAAGUCGAACGGAAAGGCCCUGCUUUUGUGGGGUGCUCGAGUGGCGAACGGGUGAGUAACACGUGAGUAACCUGCCCUUGACUUUGGGAUAACUUCAGGAAACUGGGGCUAAUACCGGAUAGGAGCUCCUGCUGCAUGGUGGGGGUUGGAAAGUUUCGGCGGUUGGGGAUGGAUUCGCGGCUUAUCAGCUUGUUGGUGGGGUAGUGGCUUACCAAGGCUUUGACGGGUAGCCGGCCUGAGAGGGUGACCGGCCACAUUGGGCCUGAGAUACGGCCCAGCCUCCUCCGGGAGGCAGCCGUGGGGAAUAUUGCACAAUGGGCGGAAGCCUGAUGCAGCACCGCCGCGUGCGGGAUGACGGCCUUCGGGUUGUAAACCGCUUUCGCCUGUGACGAAGCGUGAGUGACGGUAAUGGGUAAAGAAGCACCGGCUAACUACGUG
Molecule: ribosomal RNA, 468 nt
Filed under: uncultured bacterium
Lineage: Bacteria
Description: partial 16S ribosomal RNA
Rfam family: Bacterial small subunit ribosomal RNA
Source: RNAcentral